CCUACGGGAGGCAGCAGUGGGGAAUAUUGGACAAUGGGGGGAACCCUGAUCCAGCCAUGCCGCGUGUGUGAAGAAGGCCCUCGGGUAGUAAAGCACUUUCAGUGAGGAAGAACGCCUGGUGGUUAAUACCCAUCAGGAAAGACAUCACUCACAGAAGAAGCACCGGCUAACUCCGUGCCAGCAGCCGCGGUAAUACGGAGGGUGCGAGCGUUAAUCGGAAUUACUGGGCGUAAAGCGCGCGUAGGUGGCUUGAUAAGCCGGUUGUGAAAGCCCCGGGCUCAACCUGGGAACGGCAUCCGGAACUGUCAAGCUAGAGUGCAGGAGAGGAAGGUAGAAUUCCCGGUGUAGCGGUGAAAUGCGUAGAGAUCGGGAGGAAUACCAGUGGCGAAGGCGGCCUUCUGGACUGACACUGACACUGAGGUGCGAAAGCGUGGGUAGCAAACAGGAUUAGAUACCCUUGUAGUC
RNAcentral lists this ribosomal RNA (465 nucleotides) under Vreelandella stevensii. RNAcentral describes it as "partial 16S ribosomal RNA". It matches the Rfam family "Bacterial small subunit ribosomal RNA", at positions 338 to 795 of the family's 1533-position model. Lineage: Bacteria; Pseudomonadati; Pseudomonadota; Gammaproteobacteria; Oceanospirillales; Halomonadaceae. The record is from RNAcentral.